RNAcentral lists this ribosomal RNA (1395 nucleotides) under metagenome. Its description in RNAcentral is "bacterial LSU rRNA". It matches the Rfam family "Bacterial large subunit ribosomal RNA", at positions 1499 to 2925 of the family's 2925-position model. The record is from RNAcentral.
GGGAAUAGCUUGUCGAAGUAUUCGAGGGAGUCAGAGGAGGCAAAUCCCUUCUGACAUAAUCCUGAGGUACGAAAAUACCUGAGUUCACGCUGCCAAGAAAAGCCUCUAAGGAGCUGUCAUACUGCCCGUACCGCAAACCGACACAGGUAGAUGAGGAGAGAAUCCUAAGACCAUCGGAAGAAUUGUUGUUAAGGAACUCGGCAAAUCAACCCCGUAAGUUCGCGAGAAGGGGUGCCAUGGCAACAUGGCCGCAGUGAAAUGGCCCAAGCAACUGUUUAACAAAAACACAGGUCUCUGCAAAAGCGCAAGCUGAAGUAUAGGGGCUGACGCCUGCCCGGUGCUGGAAGGUUAAGGGGAAUGCUUAGCGCAAGCGAGGGUAUGAACUUAAGCCCCAGUAAACGGCGGCCGUAACGAUAACGGUCCUAAGGUAGCGAAAUUCCUUGUCAGGUAAGUUCUGACCCGCACGAAUGGCGUAAUGACUUGGGCACUGUCUCAACAACAAAUCCGGCGAAAUUGUAGUGCCAGUGAAGAUGCUGGCUACCCGCGAUUGGACGGAAAGACCCCGUAGAGCCUUACUGUAGCUUAGCAUUGAGUUUCGAUAAUUACUGUACAGGAUAGGUGGGAGACUAGGAGCUAUGAUCGUCAGGUCAUAGGGAGUCACCGUUGGGAUACCACCCUGUAGCUAUUGGGAUUCUAACCGGAGGCCAGGAAACGGGUCACGGGACAUUGCUAGGUGGGCAGUUUGACUGGGGCGGUCGCCUCCUAAAAAGUAACGGAGGCGCUCAAAGGUUCCCUCAGGACGGUCGGAAAUCGUCCAUAGAGUGCAAAGGCAGAAGGGAGCCUGACUGCGACACCUACAAGUGGAGCAGGGACGAAAGUCGGACUUAGUGAUCCGGUGGUACCUCGUGGGAGGGCCAUCGCUCAACGGAUAAAAGCUACCUCGGGGAUAACAGGCUGAUCUCCCCCAAGAGUUCACAUCGACGGGGAGGUUUGGCACCUCGAUGUCGGCUCGUCACAUCCUGGGGCUGAAGUAGGUCCCAAGGGUUGGGCUGUUCGCCCAUUAAAGUGGCACGCGAGCUGGGUUCAGAACGUCGUGAGACAGUUCGGUCCCUAUCCGUCGCGGGCGUAGGAAAUUUGAAGGGAGCUGACCUUAGUACGAGAGGACCGGGUUGGACCAAUCACUGGUGUAUCAGUUGUCGCGCCAGCGGCAUGGCUGAGUAGCUAAAUUGGGACGGGAUAAACGCUGAAAGCAUCUAAGCGUGAAGCCCACCUUAAGACUUGAUUUCCCAUGGAGUAAUCCAGUAAGAUCCCUUGAAGAACAAUGUAGAUAGGUGAGGGGUGUAAGUGCAGCAAUGCAUGCAGCUGACUCAUACUAAUAGAUCGAGGGCUUGAUCU